UAGAGUGUAUACUGUGAGAGGCCU
This 24-nucleotide microRNA is filed under the name Glycine max (soybean). RNAcentral's name for it is "gma-miR4379". The record is from miRBase by way of RNAcentral. Lineage: Eukaryota; Viridiplantae; Streptophyta; Magnoliopsida; Fabales; Fabaceae.